RNAcentral lists this ribosomal RNA (204 nucleotides) under uncultured bacterium. RNAcentral describes it as "partial 16S ribosomal RNA". It matches the Rfam family "Bacterial small subunit ribosomal RNA", at positions 1297 to 1500 of the family's 1533-position model. The record is from RNAcentral.
AUUGCAGGCNGCAACCCGCCCUGCAUGAAGUCGGAAUUGCUAGUAAUCGCGGAUCAGCAUGCCGCGGUGAAUACGUUCCCGGGCCUUGUACACACCGCCCGUCACACCAUGGGAGCCGGUAAUACCCGAAGUCAGUAGUCCAACCACGUGAGGACGCUGCCGAAGGUAGGAUUGGCGACUGGGGUGAAGUCGUAACAAGGUACC